Non-coding RNA from Macaca mulatta (Rhesus monkey), 1553 nucleotides. The record is from RefSeq and is a predicted model, not a curated record. Lineage: Eukaryota; Metazoa; Chordata; Mammalia; Primates; Cercopithecidae.
GGGAAGAGAAAGGGAGGAAAGGGAGUGGAGAAGGCCACACACAAUCUUAAAUUCAAUAUUUCACUCCCCUUAAAGAUAAGCUGUUUAUAAGCUCCAGUGUAGGGCAUGUAAUUCUAUGUAAAAACUCUGUGGUUCCUCUUUCCACAUGUAAAUCAUGAUCAUUCUACAUUCUGCUCUCUGGGAGCCCUCAAGGCAAAGAGACAACACGGCUCGAGACCACAGAAAGGACUUAUCACAAGUCUUUGUGGUAGCUGAGGAGUGCCCCCUACAGACUGAUAUGCACAAUGCAAGCAGAUGAAGAGGAAAGAAUUGAGCAGCAGUGUUUCAGGAUUCUCAAUAAGGCAUCAAUGAAAAAAGUUACAACCUCAUAGAUCCUCUUUCAAUGAUGUGCACAAGUAGAUGAGAAAAGUUAACCAAGUCUGAGAGGUGAAAUGACUUGCCAAAGAUCACUUACAGAUAUUGGAGACAAGACAGGAAACAAGAGGUGCCUCAUUUCAAAGCCCUUUCUAUCUAAACCACUUUGAUUUUUCCUCCUCUUGAAUAUGCCCUGCUCUGGAAAGUGUGUAAUCACGUUCCCAAACUAUGCAUACAGAAAACAAGGGAUGUGCUAUGUAACAGCAAAAGUUUAAGGUCCUCAUCCCUCUAACGCUUAUGCCUCUUUUCUUUGACAUCUACCACUUAUUUGUCUCAAAGUUUCAUUCCACAAAGUCUGGAUUUUAAUUUUAGACUUUCAUGACACACCUCUUCCUGCCUAAUCACAUAACCAUUAUUAUAUCUUAAUUUAUUAAGAUAUAAUAUUUAUGUCUUAAAUUACUAAAAUGGUUCAAAACAAAAGCAGUUAAACCUCAUCAUAGGCAAACUCAAAAAAUUGUUUAUAGUUCACAAACCUGAUGCUAUCCAUACAAAAUAAAAUUAAAGCAUUUUAUUAAUGGUUUAUUGCUUCCAAAAAAUCCCAUACCAAGUGUGCUGCCUGUGAGAAUCUACAAAGACAUAAAAUCACAAAUUGCAGGAAUCCCAUUCUGUGGAAGAUAUCAAUUCAAAAGAGUAAGGCCUAGUUUUUUUUCUGGCAAUGGAAGUUUAAUAGAUGUUGAAUGAUAUAAAAAACAAUGCACUAAAAAGUAAUUAUUAUUUUUCCUUUGGUGAGGAAUACUAUUUAAACAUACACGUGUGUGUGUGUGUGUGUAUGUGUGUGCAUGUGUAGUAUGUGUUUGCUUUUCAUAAAGCCUCUAAAUAAAAUUGGAGAGUGUACAAUCCAGGAAGCUCUAAUGUCAAUCUUUAUUUUACAGGCACCAAAAUGUAUAUCAGAAGAAAUUGUCAUUCAUCAUGACACUUCACAUGUACUGCAUUGUUUUAAUAGAAAAAUCUAAAGUUUCAUUAUGUUAAUGUUGAGCAAUGAAAAUAAAACAUCAUAAAAAAAUAAGCACUUUUUGGUGAUUGGCUACAGCAAUUUUCUGUCAGCUUCGAGCACGAUAAAAGCAUACUGAAUGGAGAUAGAACAAACACCAGGAAUCCAGCAGCACCAAAAAUGUUUUACUGGAUCCCUGCAAAUCUAG